AUAUUGUUAAUAUCUCUUUCACAGCACCAACACCACUAAAGAAGAGAAGUUAAAAUGGAGAUAAAACAGGAGAGAAUUUUCAUUACAAGUCCUGCUUUGACUUGAACACCAGUCGUAGAUCAGUGUGAUGUAUAUUAGUCCAAAAUGUGACAGCUUAUGGGAUGGCAGUGUAAGCUCUGCACACUUGUUGCAUCAUCAAAAGGAAUUUAGAUCAUUAUCGAGUGGAGCAUGGUACUGUUGGUGAUGAAUAUUCAGUGUCUUGUCUUAAUUUAGACUUUCAUUGCUUCUUUAAGACCUGAGAAGGUCUGCACACACAUUUGUAUGGAUCCCAAAGUUUGCAGGAAACUGAAGUGUGAUGCUGUACAAUAUUUCAGAUGUAAAAUGUGUCUAAUUAGAUUCUAAUACAAAAGUCUCCUUUCCACAUAUUAACUGUAUAAUACUUGUUG
This is a long non-coding RNA of Clarias gariepinus (North African catfish), 446 nucleotides long. RefSeq lists it as uncharacterized. NCBI's taxonomy places the organism in Eukaryota, Metazoa, Chordata, Actinopteri, Siluriformes, Clariidae. The transcript is spliced from 3 exons. The record is from RefSeq and is a predicted model, not a curated record.